UGAUACCAAAAAGGAUAAUUUUUUGAUAAAACUGUCUUUCCAUGUGCAGAAAUUGGAGACAGUGGAGGAACUACUCGACCUUGACGAGUUGAUAAAAACUCAACCAAGCAAGAAAGAUUUGCUGGCUCAUGACAAAUGAAUUAAUGUCCAAUCUGAACAUGAAGGGGAGAGGGGGAAAAAAAUAGCUUUGCCGAGACGAAGCUGCUCGAUUUAGUCACAGCUAGUGUCUUGGAUACCCAGAAGGGGACCGAAACGAUGGUCUAUGAUGCCAUAAAAAAUAAACUGAAAUAUGCCCCUGGACGGAAGGGAGGAAUAGGCUGGGCAUCACAGGCUAAAUAAAUAAUU
Molecule: long non-coding RNA, 345 nt
Organism: Nerophis ophidion (straightnose pipefish)
Lineage: Eukaryota; Metazoa; Chordata; Actinopteri; Syngnathiformes; Syngnathidae
Exons: 3
Source: RefSeq, a predicted model, not a curated record